Molecule: long non-coding RNA, 3145 nt
Filed under: Homo sapiens (human)
Lineage: Eukaryota; Metazoa; Chordata; Mammalia; Primates; Hominidae
Description: WDFY3 antisense RNA 2
Source: RNAcentral
CAUAAUCGAAGGGCUUCCAGCGUAGGGCGUAGGGGGAGAGGCCCGAAGCCCUGGAGACAGCGCCCGAGGGAUGGAGGCCGCGCUCGGCUGCGCUCAGGUCCGGGUGGCUCCGGGAGCUGAGACCCCGCAGGAUGCAGCGGGGGGGGGCCAGGGCCUGAUCCCCUACCCCUGCGAGCCAGGGCCGCCUACGCCCCCACUGCUUCCCACAGGACCAGAUGGAAAGAAACUGGGCAAGCCAAUGAAAGUCUCUGGGGAUCAUGGGAAUUGAGUGUCUAUGAAAACCAUAUUCCAGACAAGAAUAUAGUCUAAGGACACAGCAAGAGGCAACAUUUUGGAAGCAGAGGGCAACUCUCACUGGAAACCAAAUCUCCUGGCACCUUGAUCUUGGAUUUUACAGCCUCCAGAACUGAUAGCUGGGAGGCAUUACAUAGUCAUGUGCGAGGUCAAAACUGAGUCACCACCACAACCAAGUUCCAGCUGGCAAGAAGAGGAAAAAUAACACAGAGGAGUUAUGACCAGUGUUGUAAGGAUCUGGCCUAGAAAUGGCAUGCAUCUCUUCCACUAAUAUCCUAUUGGUAAAAAUGUAGUCACAUGGGCACACCACCUAUCUGCAUGGAAGGCUGGGAAAUGUUGAUCGGUAGGGCAGCCAUAUGUGUAGGAAGGAGAAAACAGAAUUUGGUGGAUACCUAGUAGUCUCUGCCAUACCCUUGACCAGAAAUUUUUCUUCUAAAGAAUUUAAUUCUAAAAGUUAUAGACAUUCCCAAAGAUAUACCUGCAAGCAUCACAGCUUUGUGUAUAAUUGCAAAAGUUGAAAUCAACAUGAAUGCCCAAAAUAGUGAAUUAUUUAAACAGAUUAUUACCCAUAUUAUGAAGAAAUACUCUGCAACUCUUAAAAAUAAAUGUAAUGUGCCAGGCGCAAUGGGAUAUGCCUGCAGGCCCAGCUACACGGGAGGCCAAGGCAGGAGGAUCACUUGAAAUCAAGAGUUCAAGUCUAGCCUAGACAACAUAGUGAGACUUGGUCUCUAAAAAAGAAAAAAAAAAAUAAAACUGAUGUAAUGAAUAUAUAAUUACAACAAAAGAGGUCUAACACUAUAGUAGAAAAGUUUGGGGCACUCAUCCCAUUCAUAAUUAUUUUACAUUUAAAUUACUGUUCCUACUUAAGUGGUGAGCUUGGUAACCAUUUUCAUAUCAGGUGAUACUGCUGCAGUAAUCAUAGCUGUUUGAAUCAGGAAUAAUCCCAAUCACAUUUUCUCUUAAUCGUUUAUUAUACUGGGCAUUGGGGUUGCAAGAUAAUGCACAGUCCGAGCUCAAUACAUGUCUUCAUGUACCUGUAUGUAAAUCCCACUUUUAUUCUAAAAUUCUUUGAAUAUUUUGUUUCUUGGAACCCAAUGAUCCUAAGAAAAUUAUGUACUUUUACCUGAAAAUUAAAACCAAUAUUUAUAAAAAGUGUAUAUGCAGUAUGAUACCACUUUUAAAAAAAGAUAAAUUUAUAGAAAAAAGUUUAUAUGACUGACAACAAUGUCUCUGAGUGGUAGGAUUACAGUUAAUUUUUAUUUUCUUCAUUCUACUUAUCUUUAUUUUCUGAACUUUCUACAAUGAACAUGUUUUAUUUUUACUUUUGUUAAAAUAAAUAACAUUUAAUUUGACGGAAAAUUCUAAAAAUCAACAUUUGGUAACUUAAAUAUUCAUUGGCACAUGAUUCUGUGCCUGUUUCUGGGGGUCAUUCCCAUGAGAAGAGCAGGUAGAACUUAUGAGAAUAGAGCAGUCGAAAUAUUAUAGGUUUCAUAUUUUACGGCUUUAUUGAAAACAUUGAUAUAUUGAAUAUUCAUAAAUUUUAAUUUAACUUUCUUUUAUAAUCCUUAAUGUGAGGCUAAGGUAUAAGGAGAAAGGAGAUUGGUAAGGAAGUGUGAUACAUAUUGAAUCAGGUGUCAAGGUACCAUUUGUGCCUGGAUCUGACCAAUAGACCAAGGUAAAAAUCUCAAAGAAUGAGACUUGUAAUGAGAAUGCCACAAACUUGAAUACCUUAUGCACAAAACACAAACAUUGUUAUGCAUAAUGUACAUGAACCCUGAAACAAAGAUAAUGAUUUGGACCACCCAACUGAAGUGGCAUGUUAUGUUUUUGGCAUGAACAAAAGAAACAAGAGAGAAAAAAAUCAAAAUAAUUAAAAUAAAUUGUUAGAGAAAAGUUACUUUAAAAAUAGCUAUAACGCUUUGCAAUUUCAGUAACAGUUCUGCCUCUGAUGCAAUGUAAAACAUGUAUUAGACAUUCAGGCUCCACAAUAAAUUUUAAUGAGCACUACAAAUUUAGAAUAUAUAAAAAUAUCAGUAACCUAUGAAUUCAUCAACAUAACUCACUUUUCAGUUAAGUUAGGCUGAGUUGAAAUUCUACUAAGUUUUCCCAUAUUCUUGAUAAAGGCUAAAUUUGAAAUAAUUUAUUUAGAUGACUAAUUGGCAAUUUGAUAGUAGUUACAUUUUAUGUAACACUUGAUAUAAUAACCCAAAUUAAUUAGCUCAAUAUUAUCUUCUGUGGUUUAUUGAUCCAAAAGUACAUAUUUGUUAUGUAAACUUAUACUAUGUAAACUUGAAUUAGUUUUUUGCUUCCUUGAAUUAAUAAAGCCCAUUAAUGCAAAUCUAAGCCUUCAUAGACUUUUCCAAUCCUUAGUUAAAUAUUAAAAACUGAGUAUUGUAGUUAUUUGCUAGGUAUAAAAGGUGACUCAGAGUAGAGAGUAAGAUGUCAGCAAAUAGACAAUAAGAUGUCAGCAAAAGUGCCUCAAAUUUUAACUGCGUCAAGUUAAGGGCAUUGUAAAUACUGUAGUUUUAUGUAGCUUGCAACUUCUACUGAAAUGAGUUUAAUCAUGUCUUUCACAUAGCUGAAGUUUGUGUCAAGAUUUAAGCUGAUUUUCUCAUUCUUAUCAAAGUCUCACCUGGGGGUAGGGAGGGGUAGGCCUACCUCCCACCUCUAUACUAUCAUUUUAGGAACAGACAGGCAUAAAUCUGUUCAUAUGGUAGAACACAUGAUGUUAGAGUAUAUUUUGUUGAAUGCUAUGGAAUAUUAAUAUAAUUAAUUCUAAAAUAUCACCUAAAAUAUGUCAACUGAAGAUCUGACUGUACUAAAUAUGAAAAAUAAAGCAGCACAUACUUUC